AAUAGAUACCCAGGUAGUCCACGCUGUAAACGUUGGGCGCUAGGUGUGGGGGGGCCUCUCCGGUUCCCUGUGCCGCAGCUAACGCAUUAAGCGCCCCGCCUGGGGAGUACGGCCGCAAGGCUAAAACUCAAAGGAAUUGACGGGGGCCCGCACAAGCGGCGGAGCAUGCGGAUUAAUUCGAUGCAACGCGAAGAACCUUACCUGGGUUUGACAUGGCCGCAAAACUCGCAGAGAUGUGAGGUCCUUCGGGGCGGUCACAGGUGGUGGCAUGGCUGUCAUCAGCUCGUGUCGUGAGAUGUUGGGUUAAGUCCCGCAACGAGCGCAACCCUCGUUCGAUGUUGCCAGCGCGUUAUGGCGGGGACUCAUCGAAGACUGCCGGGGUCAACGUCGGAGGAAGGUGGGGAUGACGUCAAGUCAUCAUGCCCCUUAUGUCCAGGGCUUCACGCAUGCUACAAUGGCCGGUACAAUGGGCUGCGAUACCGUGAGGUGGAGCGAAUCUCAAAAAGCCGGUCUCAGUUCGGAUUGGGGUCG
This 531-nucleotide ribosomal RNA is filed under the name uncultured bacterium. Its description in RNAcentral is "bacterial SSU rRNA". It matches the Rfam family "Bacterial small subunit ribosomal RNA", at positions 777 to 1306 of the family's 1533-position model. The record is from RNAcentral.